Molecule: small nuclear RNA, 180 nt
Filed under: Vicugna pacos (alpaca)
Lineage: Eukaryota; Metazoa; Chordata; Mammalia; Artiodactyla; Camelidae
Description: U2 spliceosomal RNA (ENSVPAG00000016855.1)
Rfam family: U2 spliceosomal RNA
About the family: U2 is a small nuclear RNA (snRNA) component of the spliceosome (involved in pre-mRNA splicing). Complementary binding between U2 snRNA (in an area lying towards the 5' end but 3' to hairpin I) and the branchpoint sequence (BPS) of the intron results the bulging out of an unpaired adenosine, on the BPS, which initiates a nucleophilic attack at the intronic 5' splice site, thus starting the first of two transesterification reactions that mediate splicing.
Source: RNAcentral
GAAGCUCCAAUGUGGUGGAAUUCAAUAACUGUCCUUAACAGUUUAAUAUCUGAUAUGUCCUCUAUCAAAGGAGAAUACAUUAAAUGGAUUUUUAGAGCACAGUGUUGGAAUAGGAGCGUCCUCCCUCCACUCCACGCAUUGAACUGGUGUUGCAGUUCCUGUAGGCAUGGUUCACCCCUC